UGUAAACUCACGAAUCAGGAUCCAAAGCAAGGGCUGUGUCAUCAGUGGUGCAUGCAUGUGACAGAGGCGAGAGACAGAGGCGAGAGGGGCCUGGCGGCAGAAGGGAAUGUACUGGGAAUACAGGAGGCUGAAGCUUCAUCACAGCUCACAGAACAACUGAGCAGGGUUCAAGGAGUCCCUGGGAGUGGCUGAAGCUGGGAGCUGCUGAAACUGCUAGAGGAGGGGGGACCUUCAAUCUGCAGGAAAGGUGACCUCAUCCUUCCUAUCCAAGGCACAUGAGGUCCUAAAGGGAAAAAGAGAGGGCCAAACCUACAAAAGCUACUUCAGGAUGACCCACAUCAGAUCUACAAACUAGGUGUCACCGGAGCCUGGCCUAAUGACUUUGGAGAAUCAACUGCUCACAAAAAUAUACGUGGAGGCAAGGGAUUGCCAGACAGGUACCCCAAAGAUGAACCAAAACUUACCGAAGGCACACUGAAUGGUCUUGUGAAACUGCUGAAAACAUUUCAGGGUGGUCAAAUGGAUAAUGAAGAAAUCCAAAAGGAUAAUGAUGAAAAUCAAAACACAAAGUAAAUCACAAAACAAAAAACAAGAGAAAGAUGAAAAAUGAUGACUGGGAUUCCUUUGAACUUGAUCUGAUUGAAAGUCUUCAACUCAACAGCAGUUCUCCUUCACACUGGGUUCAGGUGAGUCCUCAGAGACAGGAGGUAUGCCAAGACUCACCCACCUGCAAAUUAGCAGACAAGAUGAUGUCCCAUUUCCAGAGCUGCCUGUGAUAUGUAAAGAACAGAAAUUUGCCCAGAUGGCAGGUAAAGAGAGCAGCAGCCAUGUGUCAGGCAUCACAGAGCCCUCGGCCUCUGCAGCACAGCUAGAAGAGGAUGCUCCCAAACCACAGGCCACUUGCCUGUCUCCACGUGGAGCAGGCCUUCCACUGGCUGCAGAAGAGAGUCCUUUCGCUGAUACACAGAAAACAGGACCCUGAGCAGGCCACCAAGAGCUGCCCUCAGCAGAGAACAAAGAGAAGAAUAUCCUAGAGACAAAAAGUUCCAUCCUGAAGGACCCCUUGAAAAAUUAGGACAACUCCAUAGCUUCACAUUUUCAUGCUAUGGGCUACCCUGUCUUCCAAAAUACAACAACAAAGCAAAUGUUCUUGUUUUUAAAAAAUGUUAAUACCAGAGUUGGAAAUCUGAAGUCAGAUCAAUUGACACAUGAGAGAUGAGGUGUCAGAAAACCAUUGAACAAUUUCCAGUUCAAAUGCUCCAGUUUUGCAAUUUUGAAUAGUUCUGGUGGUAAAAACACAUAAUUACAUGCUCUUGAGUAGGAGUUGAGCUUAUCAGUUGUAUCUAUUUCUCAGUCUUCUUUUCUAGAUUACUAAAAUCGAGUUAGCCUGAGAAGUCUUACCAUUGCCCUAGAGACAAAAAAUUUAAAAUCAUACUGGUAAGUUCAGUUAACUUACCCAUCUUCUGCACAAGUAAUGGACUAAAGAAAUGGUCUUUAUGAAGACAGAAAUAUUACUGAAUUUGUUAUUGCUUUAGUGUGAGGCCAAAAAAAAAAUCCCUGAUAUUAUCUAAUCCAUUCCCCUGGAUGGGUCUGAAAUGAAGUUUUGGUAUAAAAUAAUGAAGAGAAUAGUAAUGAAUUUUCAUAAAUUUAUAUUGUUUUCCAUUUAAGGGAUUAUUUUAUAUUAUGAUAUUACUUCCUCCAUUAAUUUUGGUACUAAAAAUGUUCUUUCUUUUAUAGAAUAGAAUGGUUUCACAAUUCCUCACCCCUAUUCAUUUAAAAAUAAUAUUCAUUUAAAAAUAAUUUACUGAUCUGAGAAGACAAAAGUCUAAUCAUCACUGGGCUGACUUUAUAAAAACCUGUCUGUAUGUAUGGUGGCUUGUGUUAUGAUGUCAACAUGGUCAGUUUUGGAAUUAUAUUUUCCAGAAUCCCCUUUCUCUACUGUAUUAUUUUAGAAUUAGACAAGAGAGAUGUAUAUGAGAAAUUUGGAAGCUAGAAGUAAACUCAUAGUCAUUAUUCUCUGAAUGUUUUCUUUUAUGUUAGUUAGACAUGGAGGUACCCAGGCCAUGCACAGCCAGCUUUUCUUCCCACUAGACAGUCCUGAUGACCAACAUCAACUUCAGGCAAGGGCUUGGCUUUGGACCAGCAGAGGUGCUGGCCAGACAGAGCCUCUUCACACACUCCCUAUUAGUGACAAGUCUUGCAGCUGGAAGUGCUUACUUCUCAAAGUGCCUGGAAGGUGACUCCUUCUCUGAGUUCCAUUCCCCAACUUAUUCCAGAUUUCCAUUUCUCUACUUUCCUAUAUAGCUGCAUAAGAGCACAUUCCCGUAAUAAGCCCUGUCCCAUUGGUCUCACAGGACCUCUGUUCUUCUGCCUAAAUUUGGUUGAAAAACUUCAAAUACAGGAAUUGGUUUCAGGAGAAUGAAAUGGUGGAGGUAGGAAUCUGGAAUUGCUUCUCUGUUCCAGACAGAUUUUAAGAUAUUAGUGGCUAUGUUACCACUAGUAAAAUGUGAUAGUAGAUAAUCCAUGCAUAGGUUGACAAAAUAGUUACCUAGACUACUAUCUACAGUUAGCUGAAGCCAAGAUCCUAAAAAAGAUAAAGUUUUGAGUAUCCAAGUAGUUGUUAUAGAAUGGUAAAGAAGAUACCAUUUCCACAAAAAUAAGAGUUAGCUGGAAAACAAUUAACCUUGAAAACUAGAGAUCAAAAAUGCCAGCCUCAAACAGCCUAUCCUUGCCUUUCCUGCCUUAAAGAGUAGCCACAAAGUAAGAGAUAGAGGUAACAAGUUGCUUGUUUCUAAGAGUCAAAGAACUUUCAGAGGAGAAAGGAUGAGGUUAGAGUGUCAUGUUUCCAGCUAAAAAUUCACUAAGGUUAUUGGAAAACUUUGACAAGCACUCUAAAAGGUACCAUUUCUCUUGUAGCUACAGAGCUGAGAUUUCUGAAAGCCAGGCUCAGAAUGAAAGUCUUGCAGGUGGGAUGCCUUCCUACUACAUGUACUAGACCAGGCCAACACACAGCGCCAUCCAUUCCUAACUAGAAUGAUCAUGAUUGGGACGUAAGGGAUGGAAAUGGGUUGUAGCUACUCUUACCAAUUGGUUUAACAACCCAUAUGAGAAAUUUUUGUUUCUUACACUGACACAGCAAUUUUGAGCUUAGUGGUUCUACAAGGCACCCUGCCCAAGAGAGAAAUAGCGACAGCAGUAAACACAGUCAGUAUUCUUUACAUUGGAAUUGGAGGGUUUCCCCUAAUCAGUUUGGCUUUGUUAUACCAAUGAACCAACAGUCAUCUCUGAGGGACUGCUCUUCAUGGAUAGCAUUUGCUGAGCUUUCCUGCUCUCUGCUUCCAGUUUAGUUUAGCUACUAGGAGGAAAAGAAGAUUCAAAGUGGGGAGAGACUGGUGCAGUUAUUCAGACUCCCUCCCUGGUGGAUCGUGGACCAGCGGUGGCCAUAUUCCUCCACCAAAGACCACAUCUUCUGCUGGAUGGACCUCACCUUUAGCUAUUGAUCUCCUUGAAUUCUAAAAACUGUGUUAUUCUUUUGAUCCUUCAGCCCCACAAUUUGUAAUGAAUUCCUGUGGCUAGAAAGUUGGUCCUUACAUGCUCUGAUGUAAGUAUUUUUUUCUUCAUCAAACUCUCUUCAGCUGACUCUUUUGACAUACGGGCCAUUCUGAAAGCUCUUGGACCAAUACUUACAUAAGGAAGUUAAGAUCUGAAUUCCAUUAUACUUUCCUUAUUUAAUUUUCCCCUAAGCUCUCACAGUUAUUAAAUUGAUUAUUUUGUUCUAAGUACAUGGUUAUAUCACAUAUGAAUAAUUUAUUUUAAUCAAUAAAAGAAAUACUUAAAAUAGCAGAAUAGGCAAAAAUUGCCCAUAAUACCAAAAGAAUAAGUUCAAAAAGAUUAAACAUCAUUGAUAUCUAAGGAUUAUUGCUUUUCAAAAGAUACUACUAAGACAAUGGAAAGAUUAAUACAGAAUAGAAGAAAAGUAUAUUUCUGAUAAAAAUAUACUUUCAUUCAGAAUACAUAAAAACACUCAGAGCACAAGAACAAGAUAACCAAAACAUUUUAAUGGACAGAAGUGAUUUGACAUGGGCAACAGAUUUGGAAUACAUACUUCACCAAAGACAUAAAAUAAUCAAAUGGAACUUAGAACUAAAAUUACAAUGAGAUACCACUACAUACCCAUUCCAAUGCCCAAAAAUUACAAUGAGAUACCACUACACACCCAUUCAAAUGCCUCAAAUUUAAGAGACUCAAAGUAGCAAAUAUUGGUAAGAAUAUGAGAGUACGUAGAACUCUCAUAUAUUAUUCGUAGGACUAUAAAAUGGUACAAAUUUGAAAAAUCAGUUGACGGCUUCUUAAAAAGUUAAACAUACACUCAACACUCUAACUCAGUAAUUCUGCUUUUAAACAUUCACCCAAGGGAAAGUAAAUCUGUGUCCACACAAAAACUUGAACUCAAAUAUUCAUAGUAGCAGUAGCCAUAAUAGCCAAUGACUAGAACAGCCCAAAACAACCCCAUCAAAAGGCAAAUGGAUGAACAAAUUUUGAUCUGUUCCUACAGUGGAAGGUUGCAUUUAGUAUAACUUACCACUGAAUAUACUGAUUACACUUUCAUUCUUUGAAAAAUAGUGUUUAUGAUGAUAACUCUCAAUAAGCCAGGAUAUUCAGUCUACUAAUCUUGAAAACAAGCUUUAUAACUUUUUUCAUCUCAAUAUCUAACUAUGGUGUCAGCACAAAAUGUAUGCUCAGUAAGUGACAGUUGAAAUAAAAUAAAAACAUGCAUCAUCAUUCACUAUUUUAAGAUGGAAAAGAAUUCUAUAUAUAUGUAUGUUCAUAUAUUCAUAUAAACUUAAAAAGUGUGACAAGAUGCACACUAAACUGUAAUCAAGGAUUGCCUCAUGAAUUUAAAGCAAUGCAGAGAAUUCAGCUUCCCUUUAAUACAUAAUAUUGCAGUUAAGAUCAUGGACUCCAGAGUCAGGUUUGGUUUCAGUGCCAACUCUACCGAUUCUCAUAGGUGUCAGUACUUACCCUCUUUGUGUCUUAUUCUAUCUUCUUAGUGGAGAUCACAAAAUUCUUAACUCAUAGGAUUCAGGUGAAUAUUAAUUGAGAUAAUACAUAAAAUGUACUUAAGUGUUUAAUACUUAGCAAACAUUUGAGCUAUUAGUCUUUGCUUGAUAUGUUACAAUGUCAACUAGUGUUUUGAAAUAAUGAAAGAAAAAUAUUUCAUGGCAAAUAAUUUAAGAGGAUUUGUGUCAUAAUACAAGGAGAGCAAGAGGAAGAGGAUGAAAAAGAGGAAGGGGAUAAAAGUAGCUAUCAAUUUUAUCUUGGCGAUGUUUCUGCUUAAGCCCCCAGAUUUGCUCCAAAUUAGACUGGCUGCUCCAUACAUGUUGCCCAACUCUUACCUGCAGUUUUCCUAUCAUGUUUAUCCCAAUUCCUUCAUUCAUUCAUUCUCUCUCUCUCUCUCUCUCUCUCUCUCUCUCUCUCUCUCUCUCUCUCUGCGUGUGCAUGUGUGUGUGCUGGGGAUUGAACCAAGGAUCUUCACAAUGAGCUGCAUCCCCAUUCCAUUUCUUAUUUAUUUAUUUUAUUCUGAAGCAGAACCUGAUUGAUCGAUUUCGAGACCGAGUCCCACUAGGUUGUCCAUACUGGCCUCAGUCUUGAUCCUCCUGCUCAGCCUCCCAGCAGUGCUAGGAUGACGGGUCUGCUUCACGGCACACACUUUAGUCUGUGUCAUACAUUGGAUCGCUCUUGCCUGGGUUCCAGUUCUUCAUCUCUCUUCAUUUUUUCACUUAUGUUUGUAUGUUGCAUCCACCAUUAUCCUUAUUUUUAAAACUGCAUUCAAUUUUUUGGAACAUGACAUGCCUGAAAAGGUCUUAUUAUAAUCUCACAUUAAAAUUUGCUAGUUUGAUUAAGUAUAAUAUUCUAGGUUUUAAAUCACAUUCCUUUAAAAAUUUUAAGACAUUUUUCCAUUGUCUUUUAGCUUCCAACUACUCUGUAAUGAAGUUUAGUGCCAUGUUGUUUCUUAUCGUUUUAAACAAGGUUUUGCUUUGUUUUUGUUCCUGAAGUAGUCAAAUGUUCCCACACACUUUGAGUUUCACAGUGACCAUACUUUGUGCUCUAAAUCAUGUGGCAUUCAGUGGACCCUGUCAGUCCAGCCACCCAUGUCCUGUAGUUCUGGGAUAUUUUCACAAAUUAUUUCUUUAAUAUUUUCCUCUUUUCUGUUUUUGCUUCUUCUGGUCUCCAGCAUUUAUCUAUUUUCCACCUUAGUUUUUCUUUUAGAAAUUUAUUUUCUACAAUUUCUAGCGAGUUUUAAAUUUUUCUCACAUUUUUAACUUCCAAGAGCUCUUUUUUUGUUCUCUGAACAUUUCCAUUUGUUUUUUUUAGCUUAGCACUUCUAUUCUUAUUUCAUAGUGUAAAAUAUUCAUAUGGAUUUUAAGAAUAAUAAUAGAAAGCUGAGAUAUUUUUUCCAGCUUUCUUCUCUCUUACAUGAUCUGUUUCUUUUAAUUUCUCUGUGUUUUGGUUUCUUUCAUAUUGAAGACUUUCCUGAAAAGUCUGGUAAUCCUUUUCUAUUUAUUCAGAAGGCAGAUUUUUAAAAUAGGAGAUUUAAGAGAAAGAUGCCUUGAUGACAUGUGGAUUUUAGACACUGUGUUAGCUUUUCAGCACUAUAAAUAAAGGAGGAAAGAUUUGUUUUGGCUCAUGAUUUAAAAGGGCUCAGUCCAUGGUCAGCUGGCAACACUGCUUUUGCAUCUGUGGUGAGGAAAAAAUAUCACUGCUAAACGGUGUGGCAGAAUAAAGCCCCUCACUAGUGGCAACCAAGAAGCAGAAGUAAAAGGAAAUAAUUCAAGAGGAAGGGGCCAGGGACAAGAUAGAGUCCUCAGUGUCACACCACCGUGACCCAUUCCCUUCUGCCAGCCUUCACUCCUGUCCCCAUCACCUGCCAAUAGAGCUACGAAACUGCACUCUCAUAAGCAGAUUUACCACUGAUACAAUAAGAAGCCCCAUGGUCCAAUCACCAUCCAAAAGCCCGCCUUUGAACACAUGAGACUGUAGGGGACAUUUUAGAUCUAACUAUAACAGCUAUUAAAUCUAGAACUGAGACAAUAAAUCUCUAUGUUGUAAGCUUUAAAGGUGGGUGGUGUGGGGGGGGGCCUGAGGGAUUUUCUAGGAAGUGACAUGGUCAGUCACUAGGGUUUAUCUGGUGUCAGUGUCCCUAGGUCUUUUCUCUUAAGCUGGCUGAGUCUCCAGACAGGUACUUUUCACUUUCUGCCUUUAAAAAGCUUGAUCUCUGAGUGUUGGCAGGAGCAGACAACCUAAGGCCUUGGCACUAGCACAUAAGCUUCUCACCAGCCACCUCUGUUUAGAACACCACCUGUCAUCGUUACGGUGUUUGGGGCCAUAAAGCCACUAUUCCAGAGAAUGAACUUCCAAUCUUUGGCUGGGGUAGGGGCAAAAGGGAAGAGCAAUUAGGACUCUCCUUGCAUCAAAAAGGCAUUCAGAUUAUCUUUCUCUUUAGUCCCUGAUCCCUGUAUUAGUAGCUUUCCUUUUGCUGAGACACAAAACCCAACACCCACAAUUUAAAGAAGAAAA
This is a long non-coding RNA of Cavia porcellus (domestic guinea pig), 7578 nucleotides long. RefSeq lists it as uncharacterized. The transcript has 2 exons. Lineage: Eukaryota; Metazoa; Chordata; Mammalia; Rodentia; Caviidae. The record is from RefSeq and is a predicted model, not a curated record.